AUUGAACGCUGGCGGCAGGCCUAACACAUGCAAGUCGAACGGUAACAGGAAGCAGCUUGCUGCUUUGCUGACGAGUGGCGGACGGGUGAGUAAUGUCUGGGAAACUGCCUGAUGGAGGGGGAGAACUACUGGAAACGGUAGCUAAUACCGCAUAACGUCGCAAGACUAAAGAGGGGGACCUUAGGGCCUCUUGCCAUCGGAUGUGCCCAGAUGGGAUUAGCUAGUAGGUGGGGUAACGGCUCACCUAGGCGACGAUCCCUAGCUGGUCUGAGAGGAUGACCAGCGACACUGGAACUGAGACACGGUCCAGACUCCUACGGGAGGCAGCAGUGUGGAAUAUUGGACAAUGGGCGCAAGCCUGAUGCAGCCAUGCCGCGUGUAUGAAGAAGGCCUUCGGGUUGUAAAGUACUUUCAGCGGGGAGGAAGGGAGUAAAGUUAAUACCUUGGCUCAUUGACGUUACCCGCAGAAGAAGCACCGGCUAACUCCGUG
Molecule: ribosomal RNA, 490 nt
Filed under: uncultured bacterium
Lineage: Bacteria
Description: partial 16S ribosomal RNA
Rfam family: Bacterial small subunit ribosomal RNA
Source: RNAcentral